GAUAAACGCUGGCGGCGUGCCUAAUACAUGCAAGUCGAGCGAACGGACGAGAAGCUUGCUUCUCUGAUGUUAGCGGCGGACGGGUGAGUAACACGUGGAUAACCUACCUAUAAGACUGGGAUAACUUCGGGAAACCGGAGCUAAUACCGGAUAAUAUUUUGAACCGCAUGGUUCAAAAGUGAAAGACGGUCUUGCUGUCACUUAUAGAUGGAUCCGCGCUGCAUUAGCUAGUUGGUAAGGUAACGGCUUACCAAGGCAACGAUGCAUAGCCGACCUGAGAGGGUGAUCGGCCACACUGGAACUGAGACACGGUCCAGACUCCUACGGGAGGCAGCAGUAGGGAAUCUUCCGCAAUGGGCGAAAGCCUAACGGAGCAACGCCGCGUGAGUGAUGAAGGUCUUCGGAUCGUAAAACUCUGUUAUUAGGGAAGAACAUAUGUGUAAGUAACUGUGCACAUCUUGACGGUACCUAAUCAGAAAGCCACGGCUAACUACGUGCCAGCAGCCGCGGUAAUACGUAGGUGGCAAGCGUUAUCCGGAAUUAUUGGGCGUAAAGCGCGCGUAGGCGGUUUUUUAAGUCUGAUGUGAAAGCCCACGGCUCAACCGUGGAGGGUCAUUGGAAACUGGAAAACUUGAGUGCAGAAGAGGAAAGUGGAAUUCCAUGUGUAGCGGUGAAAUGCGCAGAGAUAUGGAGGAACACCAGUGGCGAAGGCGACUUUCUGGUCUGUAACUGACGCUGAUGUGCGAAAGCGUGGGGAUCAAACAGGAUUAGAUACCCUGGUAGUCCACGCCGUAAACGAUGAGUGCUAAGUGUUAGGGGGUUUCCGCCCCUUAGUGCUGCAGCUAACGCAUUAAGCACUCCGCCUGGGGAGUACGACCGCAAGGUUGAAACUCAAAGGAAUUGACGGGGACCCGCACAAGCGGUGGAGCAUGUGGUUUAAUUCGAAGCAACGCGAAGAACCUUACCAAAUCUUGACAUCCUUUGACAACUCUAGAGAUAGAGCCUUCCCCUUCGGGGGACAAAGUGACAGGUGGUGCAUGGUUGUCGUCAGCUCGUGUCGUGAGAUGUUGGGUUAAGUCCCGCAACGAGCGCAACCCUUAAGCUUAGUUGCCAUCAUUAAGUUGGGCACUCUAAGUUGACUGCCGGUGACAAACCGGAGGAAGGUGGGGAUGACGUCAAAUCAUCAUGCCCCUUAUGAUUUGGGCUACACACGUGCUACAAUGGACAAUACAAAGGGCAGCGAAACCGCGAGGUCAAGCAAAUCCCAUAAAGUUGUUCUCAGUUCGGAUUGUAGUCUGCAACUCGACUACAUGAAGCUGGAAUCGCUAGUAAUCGUAGAUCAGCAUGCUACGGUGAAUACGUUCCCGGGUCU
RNAcentral lists this ribosomal RNA (1372 nucleotides) under uncultured bacterium. RNAcentral's name for it is "bacterial SSU rRNA". It matches the Rfam family "Bacterial small subunit ribosomal RNA", at positions 28 to 1381 of the family's 1533-position model. The record is from RNAcentral.